UAGGGAAUCUUCGGCAAUGGGGGGCAACCCUGACCGAGCAACGCCGCGUGAGUAAAGAAGGUUUUCGGAUCGUAAAGCUCUGUUGUAAGAGAAGAACGUGUGUGAGAGUGGAAAGUUCACACAGUGACGGUAACUUACCAGAAAGGGACGGCUAACUACGUGCUAG
Molecule: ribosomal RNA, 166 nt
Filed under: uncultured bacterium
Lineage: Bacteria
Description: partial 16S rRNA
Rfam family: Bacterial small subunit ribosomal RNA
Source: RNAcentral